AAAUUUUAGUAUAAUUUAGUAUAGUUUAUUGUCAAUAGACAGGUUAAAAUUUUAU
This 55-nucleotide transfer RNA is filed under the name Mecistocirrus digitatus. RNAcentral describes it as "tRNA-Asp". The record is from RNAcentral. Lineage: Eukaryota; Metazoa; Nematoda; Chromadorea; Rhabditida; Trichostrongylidae.